Molecule: ribosomal RNA, 504 nt
Filed under: Globigerinoides ruber albus
Lineage: Eukaryota; Foraminifera; Rotaliida; Globigerinidae
Description: SSU rRNA
Rfam family: Eukaryotic small subunit ribosomal RNA
Source: RNAcentral
CGUUCUUAGUUCGUGGAGUGAUCUGUCUGCUUAAUUGCGUUUCAAAUUUUUAACCGAGGACCGGGUUUUGGUUUGGCUAGUGGUCCUACGAUGACUGUGAACUGUCAUGUCUUCGGAUGUACGACUAUCGGUCUAGGAUCACAUGACUUGCCCCUGGGACUCUUUUGAACGCAACGGACGUGAUUGCAACCCCUUGUUGAGAUUAGAGAUAGUCUCGAUAUUCACUGGCCAAACUGGCUGCUUUAUGCAGUCUUGUUGAAUGGUGGAUAAACUCGGGGGACUGCUGACUAUAACCAUUUCUCAAAACAGAGGAAGGUUGCGGCAAUAACAGGUCUGUGAUGCCCUCAGAUGUCCCGGGCUGCACACGUGCUACAAUGAGUGGCGCAAUGUGCUAAUGUUUUAAGGGAUAAGCGUGCGGCCAGUAGAACGUCGGCAAUUGCCCUGGCGUCUUCUACCGCACGAUUAUCAGCCUUCCCUUAACAGGGCGGGCAACCUUUUCAAAAU